RNAcentral lists this ribosomal RNA (635 nucleotides) under Xenorhina lanthanites. RNAcentral describes it as "partial 12S ribosomal RNA". The stretch from base 1 to 467 matches the Rfam family "Bacterial small subunit ribosomal RNA", at positions 871 to 1533 of the family's 1533-position model. The record is from RNAcentral. Lineage: Eukaryota; Metazoa; Chordata; Amphibia; Anura; Microhylidae.
GCCAGGGAAUUACGAGCCCAAACUUAAAACCCAAAGGACCUGACGGUGUCCCACCCCCCUAGAGGAGCCUGUUCUAUAAUCGACUAUCCCCGAUAAACCUCACCACCUCUCGAAUAACAGCCUGUAUACCUCCGUCGAAAGCCUACCAUGUGAACGCAAUCAGUGGGCACAAAGAUUUUUAACCCAAACGUCAGGUCAAGGUGCAGCCCAAGAGGCGGAAAGAAAUGGGCUACAAUCUCUAACCAUAGAGCAAACGGAAAACUGCAUGAAACACAGUAUUUGAAGGCGGAUUUAGUAGUAAAUAGAAAAUAGAGAGUUCUUUUUAACUAGGCACUGGAACACGUACACACCGCCCGUCACCCUCUUCUAAUUUAACCAUAAAUGUCAUUAACUAAAUUCAAAACAACAGAAGAGGCAAGUCGUAACAUGGUAAGCGUACCGGAAGGUGUGCUUGGUAUAACAAAAUGUAACUUAAUAAAGCAUCUUGCUUACACCAAGAAUAUGUUAGUAUGACCCUAACCAUUUUGAGCUAAAAACCAAGCCCCUAACAAUUCAAAUGAAAUUAACCUAAAAAUAAAAACUAAACAAAACAUUCUAUUAAUUCUAAGUAAAGGCGAUUAAAAAGUAUUUAGGAG